This 321-nucleotide long non-coding RNA is filed under the name Brassica napus (rape). RNAcentral describes it as "long non-coding RNA (BNAP_LNC013896)". Lineage: Eukaryota; Viridiplantae; Streptophyta; Magnoliopsida; Brassicales; Brassicaceae. The record is from RNAcentral.
CCAGGAUUUGUUUCAGUAGAGCAUCAGUGCUGCUGACUUGAGGGGUGGAGGUAGAGGGAUUAGAUUGUUGUUGGGAAGAAUUGUUGCCUUUGUUGUUGAAACCAGGAGGAGGGUUUUGUUGUGGUUGAUAGCUGCCUUGCUGAUUGUUUCGAGGCUGGUAACCACUCUGAUGGUUGUUGGAAUAGGAUUUCUGUUGGUAGUUGUUGUACUGAAAGUUGGGCUCUUUCUUGUACCAGCUACCAUUGUUGUUGAUGAAACACAACUCUUCCUGACCUUCCAAACCUUCAACUUCAUGGACAACAGCUGGUGUCUCUUGGGUUG